Molecule: long non-coding RNA, 3239 nt
Organism: Labeo rohita (rohu)
Lineage: Eukaryota; Metazoa; Chordata; Actinopteri; Cypriniformes; Cyprinidae
Exons: 4
Source: RefSeq, a predicted model, not a curated record
GAAGACGAAAACAAAAAUAACUGCGUAAACACACAGAUAGCAAGAGAAAGCGUUGCUCACUGGAUUUAUGUCCUAGAAAACAUUUUAUAGAUACAACUUUAGCACAGACCCUACUCAUUUUAACACUCGGGGACAUUGUUUUUACAUAUUUAAUCCGAUCCGUCUGUACUAUUGAGAGAUUUGAGAAGAAAUUGCUGACAAGCUACAGGCCUAAAGGACAGAAAAAUGAGCGUUUCUAAUAAAUUCUCUUCUUAGUGGACAAGACUGUAGGUCAAACUGAACAGCAGAUUGUUUUCUCAACCCAAUGCUGAUCACUGGAGUUUAUCUGCAGUUUGUCAGAAGAUCAAGGAAAGGACUCUCAGUCUGAGAUGAGUCUCUCACAGAAACAGAGUGUAAGAUCAGACUCACAUGUGUCCAGCUCUGUGUCUGUGAAGAGUGACCGGUCAAAAGAUGAUGAUCCACCGAACUUCAGUGAGAAAAAAACGUCAUCUACCAAAAGUGUAAGAUCAGGCUCACAUGUGUCCAGCUCUGUGUCUGUGAAGAGUGACCAUUCGAGACGUAGUCUGCGACCGAACUUCAGUAAGAAAAAAACAUCUACCAAAAGGUAUGACAUUAUAGCAUUAUGUUUACUAAUUUUGUCACCUUGGUUUUUGUGAUAGAUGUUGACUGUUUAAAAAAAAAAACAAAUCACUGAACACAACUUAUGGUGACUUUUAUUGAACUCUGUGUGGAGCAGAGUUGGGGAAAGUUGCAUUUAAAAGUAACGCAUUACAAUUUUGCGUUACUCCAUGAUUAAUUCAUGCAUGAAUUAUGUGUUACUUCAUGCAUUAAUGUCUCAUGAAUUAUCAGGAACUAACAUGAGUUCAAAGUCUUUCUAUCAUGACUUCAUGAAUGAUCAACACUUUAAUUACGACAUUAACUAAGGUGGGUACAUCACCAUGAUUUAUGGUUUAUCACACGUGAUCAUGAUGUUUUCUUUUGUUCGCAAAAAAAAAGGUCUUCACUAUUCACUGUCAUCAAAAAUUCAUGCAUAAAAUAGGAUUAUUUCAUACAUGUAAGAUUACUUACCUCAUGCAUGCAUACAGGCUAGAACAGUAUAUGUCAAUUAAACAGUAUGUAACUAAUGUUUUAUAUUAAUUAUGAAUUGUCAAGCACGUACAUGUCUUCAUAGUAGCCUGCAGUAAAUGGUCAGACCCCAACAUUGGUCAAUCACAGCGCAUAGCUUGUAUAUUCCGUUGACAUCCAAAUACAGUAGUCAUCAUUAACUAAGCAUUAACUUCUCAUGAGUUCAUCAUGUGUGUGGCCCCUCAACUAAAGUGGUGACUUGGUUCUUUCAAAUCCUGAAAAACAGUGUGUUAUUAAUGCUGGCAUAAUUGUGAAAUGACAUGAAUAUGAACAUGAAAGUUUAAGCUUUUGCACACAAUACACUGAGGACACAAAAGGGACUUUGAUCUUAACUUUCUGCUUUAUUCUUGAACAGUAACCCACACUGCAUGAAAACGCGCGUUUCCGGACUGUUCACGUCAGCGCACAAACCCGUAAACGGCAUGUUUACGGCAGUUUCCGUGUUUGUGCUCUGGCGUUUCUAAUUCCUUGACACGGACAGAAACGGACUUUUGCGUGUGCGGCAAUUUUCCAGUCCACUCACUAACGCGAUAUCCUCUGCACGAGAAGUAAAAUCCCCGCAAAAUCCAGGGUACAAGCAAUUAAAUCUCCGUAAACAGCCGAUCAUAUAUCUCAGUCAGUGGCGGUUUUAGGCAUGGGCGAACGGGGCAGCCGCCCGGGGGCGGCAUUUUUUCAUGACACGUGGGGGGCGGCACACGAACUUGGAGGAAAAAAAAAAAAUCAUCUGUGCCGCUAAGCGGUUUUCUAUUGUCUAUGAUACCUGUGCCGCCCCUGCUGCUGAAGGAGCCGCACAGAAGCUGAGCGAGAGGAGAGGGGAUGAGGGGAGGGAAGCAGAGUACAGUUCAGCUCUCCCAAAUGAAGCGGACAAGGAGGUGGGCUAAACUAUGUCAGUGGCGCCGGGAGGGAGUCUCGCCCGGGGAGCAAUUCAGUGUAGAACCGCCACUGAUCUCAGUUAACGUCUGUAAAUUACCGUGCACUUGAUAUAUUUUAAAUGCUACUGGCAUUUUACAUAGAAAUGUGUCAUAUACACUUAUAAAAACGGUAAAGAAAGCCACAAACACAUCAAAGUAUAAACAAAACUAAAAUUGUAUUUUUUUCAGCAAAUGCACGACUGCAAACAUUUAAACAGGAUUGCAAAUAUUAUUCAAGGACUGCAACAUUUAACUGUUUUUUAUUUUUAAGUAUUUUUAAAAAGACAAUAAAAAUGUAAUCAAAAACAAACACAAUAAUGAAUACAAUGGACACUGCAAAGUCAGGGCAGUGAUUAUCGCUCCAUCUCAGACAGUCACGCACACAUAUUCUACAACUAAUGGCACCAUCAGGACCAUGCCAUAUAUUUUUCAUUUAAAUCUGCCCUUCAGAAGCUACUGUUAUGCUCAUAAAUGUACAUACCCCUAGUAGAAUAUGCAAUCAGUUUAACAAAAUAAGAGGGAUCAUAAACAUUGCAUGCUAUUUUUAUUUAGUAUUGUCCUGAAUAAGCAAUUUUACAUAACAGAUAUUUACAUAUACUGAAUUUGUAAAAAUUAAACUGAAUUUAUAAAUAUGAAAAUGUGUAAUUUAUAAAAAUCUUCAAAAGUUUGCAUACACUUGAUUCUUAAUACUGUGUCAUUACCUGGAUGACCCACAGCUGUUUUAUGUGUUGUGAUAGUUUUUCAUAAAUCCUGAUUUUCCUGGGUUGCAGGUUCUACAAUCUACUUACGCUUACAGUGUUUUGGGAAAUGCAGCCCAGAGCAGUUAAACUGCCUUCUGUUCUUCAGAAAAAUCCAGAUACAUCCUGAUUUCCAGCAGCUUCUGCAUAUUUGGCCCCUGUCCAACAAUGAUUUAUGAUUUUGAGAUCCAACUUUUCACUUAUAAAAGGUGAAAACAUUCAGUGAUGCUCCAGAAUUAAACAAUACAUUAAGAGCUGAGUAUAAGUAAAUCAUAUUUGUUCUUUUAGCACUGCCCUUCAGAAGCUACAUAAAAUACUUUUGCUUUUGUAUGCUUUUCAGACAAAAUAAGUUUACCCUGAUCAUCCAAUUCAAAUAGCUUACACCCUGUGUCUCUUAAUGCAUUGUGUUGCUUUCUUGAGCAUCAGUAAAUGUGUUUACCUUUUGUAAUAGUUAUGUAGUUAUGUA